Long non-coding RNA from Rosa chinensis, 946 nucleotides. RefSeq lists it as uncharacterized. NCBI's taxonomy places the organism in Eukaryota, Viridiplantae, Streptophyta, Magnoliopsida, Rosales, Rosaceae. The record is from RefSeq and is a predicted model, not a curated record. The transcript is spliced from 6 exons.
GCGAAUGAAUAUUAUUUAGGAAGAAUAAUAAAAGAACGCCGUGAGUGAUACAUUUGAAAUGCAGUUUACGCACGCCAUUAAACUUGCAAUAAUGGCGUCCUCUCCUUGAAAUUUUUUGGCCAAAUAUAUCUGAAGCCUUCUCUCCCUCUCUUCCCCAAUUUCCCUGCACCAGAUCCCAUUCCAUGUCGACCCUCCACUCCCAACCCUAUCCCCGCCGCCCAGCCUUCCCUCCUCAUCUCCGGAGAGACCCCCUUCGUCGAGGAGCUCACCACUCGCGUCGCCCAGAUUGUCCGCGUCCUCGGUGGUCCGGCCGUCGGAGAUACACAGUCCAGAUGCAUGAGAUUGGCCGGUAAAACCCCCUCCGAGGCGGUCGCCGUCCGGCAAUUGCUUGGUCAUCGUUUACCACUUGAUGCACGGCAAGCCAAAUCUGAAUGGUGUUACUGUGGCGGGGUAUUGAGUCAAAGUAUGACAUUGUGGAAGGAGAGAGCACUCCUUCUGGACAGGAGUAACAAAGCCCUAUAUAUAGGGAGACCGUUCGAGCUUUUCUGGUUUAUUUUCAGAAUCAGAAUGGCAGGCUUUGUACACCACACAGCUAACUCAGAAGCCGAAGAAGUAUCAUGAUGGUUUCUUGCAACUAGCAAUUACUGGGUCUCGUGGAAAGCAGGACAAUAAGCGUAGACGAGUAGUCUAGUUUUGCUUGGAAGAGAAUGAGAGCUUGCAUUUUGAAUUUAUGAGGGAAGCAUUCACUUCUGCAUUUUCAAAGGAGCAAGCUAGUGCGCUGGUGUUGCCCGCUGCCAGAUAAAUCUGGUUCUUGUGAUAAGGUGCAAAUUCAAUUGGCACCUGAGAAAUGUAUUAGUUUUUCCUCUUCCUUAGUUGACUUGUUUAAAGGUUGCUAAAUUGUCUGACUAAAAGAACAUUGCUGAAUGGAGUUUUCUCAUUCCUUUUA